Molecule: ribosomal RNA, 401 nt
Filed under: uncultured bacterium
Lineage: Bacteria
Description: bacterial SSU rRNA
Rfam family: Bacterial small subunit ribosomal RNA
Source: RNAcentral
GGGGAAUCUUGCACAAUGGGGGCAACCCUGAUGCAGCGACGCCGCGUGAGCGAUGAAGCCCUUCGGGGCGUAAAGCUCUUUCGACCGGAACGAUAAUGACUGUACCGGGAGAAGAAGCUGCGGCUAACUACGUGCCAGCAGCCGCGGUAAUACGUAGGCAGCAAGCGUUGUUCGGAGUUACUGGGCGUAAAGAGUGCGUAGGCGGUUUUCUAAGUUCGGUGUGAAAUCUCCCGGCUUAACUGGGAGGGUGCGCCGAAGACUGGGAAGCUGGAGUGUGGGAAAGGCAGGCGGAAUUCCUGGUGUAGCGGUGAAAUGCGUAGAUAUCAGGAGGAACACCGGCGGUGUAGACGGCUUGCUAGACCAUAACUGGCGCUGAGGCACGAAAGCGUGGGUAGCAAACA